UACGAAGGGAGCUAGCGUUGUUCGGAAUCACUGGGCGUAAAGCGCACGUAGGCGGAUUUGUCAGUCAGGGGUGAAAUCCCGGGGCUCAACCUCGGAACUGCCUUUGAUACAGCAAGUCUUGAGUUCGAGAGAGGUGGGUGGAAUUCCUAGUGUAGAGGUGAAAUUCGUAGAUAUUAGGAAGAACACCGGUGGCGAAGGCGGCCCACUGGCUCGAUACUGACGCUGAGGUGCGAAAGCGUGGGGGAGCAAACAGG
RNAcentral lists this ribosomal RNA (254 nucleotides) under uncultured bacterium. RNAcentral's name for it is "partial 16S ribosomal RNA". It matches the Rfam family "Bacterial small subunit ribosomal RNA", at positions 524 to 776 of the family's 1533-position model. The record is from RNAcentral.